UCCACGCCCUAAACGAUGAACACUAGUCGUCGGGAUGCUAGUCAUCUCGGUGAUGCACUUAACAGAUUAAGUGUUCCGCCUGGGGAGUACGGUCGCAAGAUUAAAACUCAAAGGAAUAGACGGGGACCCGCACAAGUGGUGGAGCAUGUGGUUUAAUUCGAAGAUACGCGAAGAACCUUACCUAGCCUUGACAUAUAUUAGAACUCACCAGAGAUGGAGAGGUGCCUUCGGGG
RNAcentral lists this ribosomal RNA (233 nucleotides) under uncultured bacterium. RNAcentral describes it as "partial 16S ribosomal RNA". It matches the Rfam family "Bacterial small subunit ribosomal RNA", at positions 794 to 1025 of the family's 1533-position model. The record is from RNAcentral.